CUUUACUCCAGCUUUGCAGUGGUAUGAGGGAUUGCAUGUGUAGAAUAGGUGGGACGCUUUGAAGCUUUGGCGCUAGCCAGAGUGGAGCGGUCGGUGAAAUACCACCCUUGCGAUCCUUUAUAUCUAACCAAGCCCGCUGAAUCGCGGGCUGGGACCCUGCAUGGUGGGGAGUUUGACUGGGGCGGUCGCCUCCCAAAGAGUAACGGAAGCGCGCAAUGGUGGGCUCAAACUGGUCGGAAAUCAGCUGUUGAGUGCAAAGGCAUAAGCCCGCCUGACUGCGAGACCAACAAGUCAAGCAGAGACGAAAGUCGGCCUUAGUGAUCCGGUAGUUCCAAGUGGACAGGCCAUCGCUCAACGAAUAAAAGGUA
Molecule: ribosomal RNA, 368 nt
Filed under: uncultured organism
Description: bacterial LSU rRNA
Rfam family: Bacterial large subunit ribosomal RNA
Source: RNAcentral